CAAACUAUAUACACGGAAAAAAAUAAUGUUAAAACGUUGUGUUUGAUAUACAAAAAUUGUAUAGCGUUAGGCCGUUACGCGCGAAUUAUAUUCUUCUUUAUUUUGCGUCUAUAAUUAUUAUUAAUAAUAUGUAUAUUUUUUUUUUAUGUAGGUCUACAGGUGAAGAAUUUCGAUCAUAAUAUUAAUUAUCAACGUAAGAUGUACGCGAUGAUAAACAGCAAUAUUACGGCGACAUACAAUCAUUACCAACAACAGCUACGUCACAACAACAAUAACAACAUAAAUGGGUUUUUGCAGACUACAAAAUAUACACGAAGCAGCACGCCUCGAAGAGACACCCAACAACGAAAUACUUUUUACGACGACAACGUUUAAUGGAUAACACUCCGAUAUUGUCCUGUCACAGCAGUAAUGUCACGUAUUUGAAUCGUACUGCUGUCGCGGGACAUUUUCGGAGCUGUCAUCCGAGUGAGCAACAUUCAUCUCUCAAUAACGCAUACCAACAACAACGAACAAUACCAUAAUAAUCGCAACAACGGAAUUCAGUAGAAGAAAAUAAAUAAUAAUCAUUUUUUUUAAAAUUUCUUUAUUAUUAUUGAAAUCGUCAUGAAAACCAAAUAAAUGGAUCUUAUUAAGUAUGCGUGCCAUCGAAGUAUUGUAGUACUUAUUAUUAAUGUGUAUAAUAUUUGUAAUUUGUAUCAUGUUUUGAUGAAAUGAUAUUUUUUAUAUUAAAAUGAAGUUUUACUAUACCUACAUGAUAUACAAAGUACAAACAUAUCUUUGUUUAAGUAUAUAUUAAUACGUUUAAGUAUUUAUAUAAAUUAAGUACAAUAUAUUUUUGAAAACACCUGAUCCCAAUGUUAUCACGUAUCACUCAAAUUUUUGUUUGGCUUUCGAGCUUCUAAACAUAUUAAAGCAUGUACGACAUAUAUUAUACAUAUUAUAUAGAUAUUUCGAUUAUUAAACAAUGACGGAUUUCAUACCUCACGAUUAUUUUCGGUUUAUAAAUGAUUAUGAAUUAGAUUAAUAAUUUACAUAAUAUAUAAAUUUUAUGAGGAUUUGUACUAAAAAUAAAUUUGUCAUAACUAUAAUUUGUAUGCUUUAAUUUAAGUAGUGAGGUAGCUAAGCACUCAUGAGGGUUUGUAUACUGUAACUAUAUAAUUUUGAAGAAAUAAAAAUAAUUGUGAAAAUAUGUA
Rhopalosiphum padi (bird cherry-oat aphid) is the source of this 1196-nucleotide long non-coding RNA. RefSeq lists it as uncharacterized. NCBI's taxonomy places the organism in Eukaryota, Metazoa, Arthropoda, Insecta, Hemiptera, Aphididae. The transcript is spliced from 2 exons. The record is from RefSeq and is a predicted model, not a curated record.